Molecule: ribosomal RNA, 372 nt
Filed under: uncultured organism
Description: bacterial SSU rRNA
Rfam family: Bacterial small subunit ribosomal RNA
Source: RNAcentral
CAGAGGGGGCAAGCGUUGUUCGGAAUUACUGGGCGUAAAGGGCGCGUAGGCGGCCUGCUAAGUCGAACGUGAAAUCCCCGGGCUCAACCCGGGAACUGCGUCCGAGACUGGCAGGCUUGAAUCCGGGAGAGGGAUGUGGAAUUCCAGGUGUAGCGGUGAAAUGCGUAGAUAUCUGGAGGAACACCGGUGGCGAAGGCGGCAUCCUGGACCGGCAUUGACGCUGAGGCGCGAAAGCCAGGGGAGCAAACGGGAUUAGAUACCCCGGUAGUCCUGGCCCUAAACGAUGAAUGCUUGGUGUGGCGGGUAUCGAUCCCUGCCGUGCCGAAGCUAACGCAUUAAGCAUUCCGCCUGGGGAGUACGGUCGCAAGGCUG